This 493-nucleotide ribosomal RNA is filed under the name uncultured soil bacterium. RNAcentral's name for it is "bacterial SSU rRNA". It matches the Rfam family "Bacterial small subunit ribosomal RNA", at positions 42 to 524 of the family's 1533-position model. The record is from RNAcentral.
UCAGGCCUAACACAUGCAAGUCGAACGGCAGCACAGUGGUAGCAAUACCAUGGGUGGCGAGUGGCGGACGGGUGAGUAAUGCAUCGGGACCUACCUGAACGUGGGGGAUAACGUAGGGAAACUUACGCUAAUACCGCAUACGUCCUACGGGAGAAAGCGGGGGACCUUCGGGCCUCGCGCGGUCAGACGGACCGAUGUUCGAUUAGCUAGUUGGUAAGGUAAUGGCUUACCAAGGCGACGAUCGAUAGCUGGUCUGAGAGGAUGAUCAGCCACACUGGAACUGAGACACGGUCCAGACUCCUACGGGAGGCAGCAGUGGGGAAUAUUGGACAAUGGGCGCAAGCCUGAUCCAGCAAUGCCGCGUGUGUGAAGAAGGCCUUCGGGUUGUAAAGCCCUUUUGUUGGGAAAGAAAUCCAGCCGGCUAAUACCUGGUUGGGAUGACGGUACCCAAAGAAUAAGCACCGGCUAACUUCGUGCCAGCAGCCGCGGUAAU